RNAcentral lists this ribosomal RNA (825 nucleotides) under Lambiella furvella. RNAcentral's name for it is "SSU rRNA". It matches the Rfam family "Bacterial small subunit ribosomal RNA", at positions 361 to 1218 of the family's 1533-position model. The record is from RNAcentral. Lineage: Eukaryota; Fungi; Ascomycota; Lecanoromycetes; Baeomycetales; Xylographaceae.
AUAUUGGUCAAUAGCCUAACGGCUGAACCAGCAACUUGGAGGAAUGUAUAGCGAAAGCUGGUUGUAUUAACUUAUAGUUAGUGCAGCAUCGACUAUGUCGAAUAAAGUUCUAGGUAGAGUUAUGAUAAUGACAUUUUCUAUCUAUAUGUCUCGACCAAAUCACGUGCCAGCAGUCGCGGUAAUACGUGGGAGACUAGUGUUAUUCAUCUUUAAUUGGUUUAAAGGGUACCUAGACAGUGCAUCAAGCCCCUAAAGGGUACUAAUGUACUAGAGUUUUAUGAGAGGGAGAAUUGGUGUACAUAAGAGUGUAGAGAUGAAAUUCUGUCAUACCUUGUGUGUUACAGGUAACAGCGAAAGCAACCCCUUAUGUAAAAACUGACGUUGAAGGACGAAGGCUUAGUAAAACGAACAGGAUUAGAUACCCCAGUAGCCUAUGCAGACAAUGAUGAAUGUCAUAGAUUGGAAUUAAGUAUUUUUUUUAUAAAAAUAUAGUUUUAUCUAUAAAUGAAAGUGUAAGCAUUCCACCUCAAGAGUAAUGUGGCAACGCAGGAACUGAAAUCAUUAGACCGUUUCUGAAACCAGUAGUGAAGUAUGUUAUUUAAUUUGUUGGCCCGCAAAACACCUUACCACAACUUGAAUACUUCGAUAAUAUCGAAAUACAAGCGUUGCACGGCUGUCUUCAGUUAAUGUCGUGAGAUCUUGGUUUUUUCCAUAAAAUUAACGUAAACCCUUACUUUAUUUUUGUUAUAGAGUAGUUCACCGUUAUAUUGGAUAUGAUAAAAGGGACUAGGACAAGUCCACAUGGCCUUAAUGUUGUGGGCUAUA